RNAcentral lists this ribosomal RNA (580 nucleotides) under uncultured Glomus. RNAcentral describes it as "eukaryotic LSU rRNA". It matches the Rfam family "Eukaryotic large subunit ribosomal RNA", at positions 204 to 637 of the family's 3401-position model. The record is from RNAcentral. Lineage: Eukaryota; Fungi; Glomeromycota; Glomeromycetes; Glomerales; Glomeraceae.
CAUGGAGGGUGAGAAUCCCGUUCGGUUGACCUUAUGACGCUCUACGAUACGCUCUCUAAGAGUCGAGUUGUUUGGGAUUGCAGCUCAAAAUGGGAGGUAAAUUUCUCCUAAGGCUAAAUAUCGGCGAGAGACCGAUAGCGAACAAGUACCGUGAGGGAAAGAUGAAAAGAACUUUGAAAAGAGAGUAAAAUAGUACGUGAAAUUGUUGAAAGGGAAACGAUUGAAGUCAGUCGUGCCGACGAGAAAUCAACUUAUCGUGUGCGAACUUGUGGGCGUGCGUGAGUUUCGGCCUCGCUGUUUGCAUGUUUGUGCGCUUUGGGUGUACUUUUUCGUAUGGUAGGCCAACGUCAGUUUCGAUUAUCAUAAAAUGACCGGCGGAAUGUAGCUUCGAUUUCGGUUGAAGUGUUAUAGCCUCUGGUAGAUGUGGUGAUUGAGACUGAGGAUUGCAACGAAUACCCUUUGGGCUAUCCGUCUGGCCUCUGAAAGUUGCUCAGGCGCCGAAAGCGUGCUUACGGUCAUCUAAGAUAACGUUCAACAGGUUAGAACGUGAUUACAUUCGUUAAGGAUGUUGACGUAAUGG